CAGCCGCCGCGGUAAUACGUAGGUGGCGAGCGUUGUCCGGAAUUAUUGGGCGUAAAGAGCGCGUAGGUGGCUUGUCAGGUCCGAUGUGAAAACCUGGGGCUCAACUCCAGGCCUGCAUCGGAAACCGGCUUGCUAGAGUCUGGGAGAGGAGAGUGGAAUUCCUGGUGUAGCGGUGAAAUGCGUAGAUAUCAGGAGGAACACCGGUAGCGAAGGCGGCUCUCUGGAACAGUACUGACGCUGAGGCGCGAAAGCUAGGGUAGCGAACAGGAUUAGAUACCCUGGUAGUCCUAGCCGUAAACGAUGGACACUAGGUGUCGGGGGUGUCGACUCCCUCGGUGCCGAAGCUAACGCAUUAAGUGUCCCGCCUGGGGAGUACGGCCGCAAGGCUAAAACUCAAAGGAAUUGACGGGGGCCCGCACAAGCAGUGGAGCAUGUGGUUUAAUUCGACGCAACGCGAAGAACCUUACCUGGGCUUGACAUGUACGUGGUAGGAAGCGGAAACGUGCCCGACCCCUCGGGGAGCGUACACAGGUGGUGCAUGGCC
RNAcentral lists this ribosomal RNA (544 nucleotides) under uncultured archaeon. RNAcentral's name for it is "bacterial SSU rRNA". It matches the Rfam family "Bacterial small subunit ribosomal RNA", at positions 509 to 1050 of the family's 1533-position model. The record is from RNAcentral.